GACGAACGCUGGCGGCGUCCCUAAUACAUGCAAGUUGAGCGCUGAAGGUUGGUACUUGUACCAACUGGAUGAGCAGCGAACGGGUGAGUAACGCGUGGGGAAUCUGCCUUUGAGCAGGGGACAACAUUUGGAAACGAAUGCUAAUACCGCAUAAAAACUUUAAACACAAGUUUUAAGUUUGAAAGAUGCAAUUGCAUCACUCAAAGAUGAUCCCGCGUUGUAUUAGCUAGUUGGUGAGGUAAAGGCUCACCAAGGCGAUGAUACAUAGCCGACCUGAGAGGGUGAUCGGCCACAUUGGGACUGAGACACGGCCCAAACUCCUACGGGAGGCAGCAGUAGGGAAUCUUCGGCAAUGGACGAAAGUCUGACCGAGCAACGCCGCGUGAGUGAAGAAGGUUUUCGGAUCGUAAAACUCUGUUGGUAGAGAAGAACGUUGGUGAGAGUGGAAAGCUCACCAAGUGACGGUAACUACCCAGAAAGGGACGGCUAACUACGUG
This 497-nucleotide ribosomal RNA is filed under the name uncultured bacterium. RNAcentral describes it as "partial 16S ribosomal RNA". It matches the Rfam family "Bacterial small subunit ribosomal RNA", at positions 28 to 507 of the family's 1533-position model. The record is from RNAcentral.